GCCGGGUGUGGUGGUGGGCGCCUGUAAUCCCAGCUACUCAGGAGGCUGAGGCAGGAGAAUCGCUUGAACCCAGGAGAGAAGGUUGCAGUGAGCCAAGAUCGUGCCAUUGCACUCCAGCCUGGGUGACAGAGCGAGACUCUGUCUCAA
Molecule: non-coding RNA, 147 nt
Filed under: Pan troglodytes (chimpanzee)
Lineage: Eukaryota; Metazoa; Chordata; Mammalia; Primates; Hominidae
Source: Rfam by way of RNAcentral